AUUGAACGCUGGCGGCAGGCCUAACACAUGCAAGUCGAGCGGAUGAAGGGAGCUUGCUCCUGGAUUCAGCGGCGGACGGGUGAGUAAUGCCUAGGAAUCUGCCUGGUAGUGGGGGAUAACGUCCGGAAACGGGCGCUAAUACCGCAUACGUCCUGCGGGAGAAAGUGGGGGAUCUUCGGACCUCACGCUAUCAGAUGAGCCUAGGUCGGAUUAGCUAGUUGGUGGGGUAAAGGCCUACCAAGGCGACGAUCCGUAACUGGUCUGAGAGGAUGAUCAGUCACACUGGAACUGAGACACGGUCCAGACUCCUACGGGAGGCAGCAGUGGGGAAUAUUGGACAAUGGGCGGAAGCCUGAUCCAGCCAAGCCGCGUGUGUGAAGAAGGUCUUCGGAUUGUAAAGCACUUUAAGUUGGGAGGAAGAGCAGUAAGUUAAUACCUUGCUGUUUUGACGUUACCAACAGAAUAAGCACCGGCUAACUUCGUG
RNAcentral lists this ribosomal RNA (484 nucleotides) under uncultured bacterium. Its description in RNAcentral is "partial 16S ribosomal RNA". It matches the Rfam family "Bacterial small subunit ribosomal RNA", at positions 30 to 507 of the family's 1533-position model. The record is from RNAcentral.